RNAcentral lists this unclassified non-coding RNA (106 nucleotides) under soil metagenome. RNAcentral's name for it is "partial internal transcribed spacer 1". The record is from RNAcentral.
GUGAACGCCCUCACGGGCUCAUACUGUUCCAAACCUCUGUGAACCGUGCCCUUCGGGGCUAUUUUACAAACAUGGUGUAAUGAACGUCAUAUAUCAUAACAAAACA